AGAGUUUGAUCAUGGCUCAGGACGAACGCUGGCGGCGUGCUUAACACAUGCAAGUCGAACGGUGAACCAGGGCUUGCCCUGGGGAUCAGUGGCGAACGGGUGAGUAACACGUGACCAACCUGCCCCUUGCUCUGGGAUAACCCCGGGAAACCGGAGCUAAUACCGGAUACGAGACCGCGCGGCAUCACGCGGUCUGGAAAGUUUUUCGGCAAGGGAUGGGGUCGCGGCCUAUCAGCUUGUUGGUGGGGUAAUGGCCUACCAAGGCGACGACGGGUAGCCGGCCUGAGAGGGCGACCGGCCACACUGGGACUGAGACACGGCCCAGACUCCUACGGGAGGCAGCAGUGGGGAAUAUUGCGCAAUGGGCGAAAGCCUGACGCAGCGACGCCGCGUGAGGGAUGACGGCCUUCGGGUUGUAAACCUCUUUCAGCAGGGAAGAAGCGAAAGUGACGGUACCUGCAGAAGAAGCACCGGCUAACUACGUGCCAGCAGCCGCGGUA
RNAcentral lists this ribosomal RNA (500 nucleotides) under uncultured Actinomycetes bacterium. RNAcentral's name for it is "bacterial SSU rRNA". It matches the Rfam family "Bacterial small subunit ribosomal RNA", at positions 8 to 522 of the family's 1533-position model. The record is from RNAcentral. Lineage: Bacteria; Bacillati; Actinomycetota; Actinomycetes.